This 247-nucleotide ribosomal RNA is filed under the name uncultured Lactobacillus sp. RNAcentral describes it as "partial 16S ribosomal RNA". It matches the Rfam family "Bacterial small subunit ribosomal RNA", at positions 116 to 355 of the family's 1533-position model. Lineage: Bacteria; Bacillati; Bacillota; Bacilli; Lactobacillales; Lactobacillaceae. The record is from RNAcentral.
CGUGGGCAAUCUGCCCUAAAGACUGGGAUACCACUUGGAAACAGGUGCUAAUACCGGAUAACAACGUGAAUCGCAUGAUUCAAGUUUGAAAGGCGGCGCAAGCUGUCACUUUAGGAUGAGCCCGCGGCGCAUUAGCUAGUUGGUAAGGUAAAGGCUUACCAAGGCGAUGAUGCAUAGCCGAGUUGAGAGACUGAUCGGCCACAUUGGGACUGAGACACGGCCCAAACUCCUACGGGAGGCAGCAGCU